Molecule: ribosomal RNA, 1324 nt
Filed under: Klebsiella pneumoniae
Lineage: Bacteria; Pseudomonadati; Pseudomonadota; Gammaproteobacteria; Enterobacterales; Enterobacteriaceae
Description: partial 23S ribosomal RNA
Rfam family: Bacterial large subunit ribosomal RNA
Source: RNAcentral
UUAAAUCGUACCCCAAACCGACACAGGUGGUCAGGUAGAGAAUACCAAGGCGCUUGAGAGAACUCGGGUGAAGGAACUAGGCAAAAUGGUGCCGUAACUUCGGGAGAAGGCACGCUGGUGUGUAGGUGAAGUCCCUGCGGAUGGAGCUGAGACCAGUCGAAGAUACCAGCUGGCUGCAACUGUUUAUUAAAAACACAGCACUGUGCAAACACGAAAGUGGACGUAUACGGUGUGACGCCUGCCCGGUGCCGGAAGGUUAAUUGAUGGGGUUAUCCGUAAGGAGAAGCUCUUGAUCGAAGCCCCGGUAAACGGCGGCCGUAACUAUAACGGUCCUAAGGUAGCGAAAUUCCUUGUCGGGUAAGUUCCGACCUGCACGAAUGGCGUAAUGAUGGCCAGGCUGUCUCCACCCGAGACUCAGUGAAAUUGAACUCGCUGUGAAGAUGCAGUGUACCCGCGGCAAGACGGAAAGACCCCGUGAACCUUUACUAUAGCUUGACACUGAACAUUGAGCCUUGAUGUGUAGGAUAGGUGGGAGGCUUUGAAGCGUGGACGCCAGUCUGCGUGGAGCCAACCUUGAAAUACCACCCUUUAAUGUUUGAUGUUCUAACGUUGGCCCCUGACCGGGGUUGCGGACAGUGUCUGGUGGGUAGUUUGACUGGGGCGGUCUCCUCCCAAAGCGUAACGGAGGAGCACGAAGGUUAGCUAAUCCUGGUCGGACAUCAGGAGGUUAGUGCAAUGGCAUAAGCUAGCUUGACUGCGAGCGUGACGGCGCGAGCAGGUGCGAAAGCAGGUCAUAGUGAUCCGGUGGUUCUGAAUGGAAGGGCCAUCGCUCAACGGAUAAAAGGUACUCCGGGGAUAACAGGCUGAUACCGCCCAAGAGUUCAUAUCGACGGCGGUGUUUGGCACCUCGAUGUCGGCUCAUCACAUCCUGGGGCUGAAGUAGGUCCCAAGGGUAUGGCUGUUCGCCAUUUAAAGUGGUACGCGAGCUGGGUUUAGAACGUCGUGAGACAGUUCGGUCCCUAUCUGCCGUGGGCGCUGGAGAAUUGAGGGGGGCUGCUCCUAGUACGAGAGGACCGGAGUGGACGCAUCACUGGUGUUCGGGUUGUCAUGCCAAUGGCACUGCCCGGUAGCUAAAUGCGGAAGAGAUAAGUGCUGAAAGCAUCUAAGCACGAAACUUGCCCCGAGAUGAGUUCUCCCUGAGACUUUAAGUCUCCUGAAGGAACGUUGAAGACGACGACGUUGAUAGGCCGGGUGUGUAAGCGCAGCGAUGCGUUGAGCUAACCGGUACUAAUGAACCGUGAGGCUUAACCUUACAACGCCGAAG